Molecule: long non-coding RNA, 198 nt
Organism: Strongylocentrotus purpuratus (purple sea urchin)
Lineage: Eukaryota; Metazoa; Echinodermata; Echinoidea; Camarodonta; Strongylocentrotidae
Exons: 2
Source: RefSeq, a predicted model, not a curated record
AUCUCUUAAGAUUUCACACUUUUGUUGUUUCGGGUCCUGACUGACAAGAGAUCCCCAACAGGUUUGGUCACCCGAGGUCUUGAGGAACAAUGCCCCGAAUCUGAGUGGUCCUAAUUGUCCGGUUCCUGGAACAAAAGCAACAAGGCCAGGCACCAGGGUCAGCGAUCCAGUCGGGUGUGGUCCGGUGAGAGUCGUUGA